ACCCAAGAUGCAGCGCAAAGCUCCCUGAUGCAUCACCAGAAUUCUGCCGAAAUGUUGAUGUUUUAACAGUUAUAUUCAAAGGAUUAUGCAUAAAGGGGGCUUUUAGUCUCCCCGUUUUGGUGGCAGUCCCCACAAAGACCUCUAAAGUUUAGGAGGCACAUGCAUAAAAAUGCAUGUAUUGGUGAUAACAACAUUGAAGAUUGCAUGAUCAUAGUAGGGGGAAUUGCUUGCAGAAAUGUGUAUAUGGGGCAAUCCUAUCCAAGAGUUUACCUCACCUCCCUGCACCAGAAGUGGGGUAAUAGUUAAAUAUUGGCUCCUGCCUUUAUGUCCGCCCCCCCCACAAUUGAAUUUUGUCAGUGCGGGAGGUGUGCCAGGGAGGAGGGAUUGAACCCAUCUUCCCUCAUGCAAUUUGGUUGUGUAUGACUCUGUUGCUGUGGAUCUCUAUUGAUCUUACAUACAAAGCUCAAAGGCUGUGUCCCAUUGAAUCCCUUCACAAAGGGAAUGAACAUAAGAAACAGUAUUGGUAAAACAUAAUGAAAUGAAACUAGAAAGAUAAAGCCAAAUUCAUGUUCCAGACUCAUGCUGUUUUCAUCUUUGUAGGUCAACUGUGCUGCAAAAAUCAAAAUUUAUACACAGUUGUGUAGGGCGAGGAGAUACAGGGGGGGAAAAGCUUGGUGAAUGAAGUUAAAGGAAAAUGGAUAGUAAAUGGAUCUAUAUUGUGAAACAAAAAGUACCACCUGGGUCAAGCUGUUGUUUCAUCUACAGCAGCUUGACCCAAAAAACAGUUCUUACCCAGGUUCUGGGAAAGCUUGGAUGUGUGAGUGUUUAAUAUGUGUAUGAAAAAUAAUAAUGAAUGAUGAAACAGAGUUUUACUGUGUUUGACUGUAAACUCCUAGGACCUAGAACAUAAAUGUUUGCAAUACAGUUUGUUUGCCUUUAACACACACACACAGACACACACACAGAGAGAGAGAGGGAUGCAGAUGACAUUUAGGGUGGUAGAAAAGACAAAAACAAAGCUUGAACAAACUGUCAGGUUCAUUGACCUUAUCUACCUUACAGUACUAAAAACCUAAAUAAAUACACAGAGACCUGGGCAGGUCAUGGCAAGAGAACUGACUUGCCUCGCUUACCUUGGUCUGUUUGAAAACUGGCUCAGUGAAUCUUCAGGAAACAAGGCAAAGCCUGCAAAGAGCGUUUCUUAAGCUGGGUUUGUAGACAGUGGUGAAUUCUUAGCACUCAUGAAACCACCAGAACACAAGAACUUUGAUGUCCAUUGGAGGGACAUCAAAGGCGUUCUAAAGCAGAUAUUGCCACUGGUAGCCAUAGGAACUAAGGCUGCAGCUAAAAGUGGCUUUUCAGAUUUGCAAUCCAAAUAUACGUGCAUUAUUGAAUCAAAAUGGACAACUCCAUAACUUUCGUUGUCAAAAUUGGCUGGAACAUUUAUCUAGUUUUCUCAGAGCCUGGCGGCCUCAUAGCUCCCUUAUGCCCAAGAUACCUGGAGCCUGGAUUUGUAAACAGGACUCGGGGACUGUGUAGCUCACUUGGCCUGAUUCCUCUGGAAUUGCAGUAGAUUUUGUUGAGCACCUAUGCAAAUCCCACAGCAUGUUCUGCAUCUGCAGACAACCAAACCCUACCACCAGAUUUGGAAGGGCAUUCAGUGUCAUUUUGAUUCAGCAUGUGACCGGUCAUGUGUUCCUCUUAGUUGCAUGCAUGGGCUCACAAGCAUUCUGAUGCUUUUCACUGCAAUUCAUGUACCGCAUCCUCAUCUUUGACUGUUCAAAGUGGCAUCACACUUUCAGUUCUAUACAAACUUGAUUUAGAGUAAGCUCCAUUGACUUCAGUAGGGUUUAGUUUUGAGUAAUGAGCAUAGCUUUGGUUUGCCCUACCUUCUGGAUCCUGAAAUAGCCUUAAAGAUUUCCCAGCUUCUUUCUUUUUCAAGCCCAGAGAUGAUCCGAUUCAUUAGAAUAACCAGAGAAGAAGUUUUCAAGGAAGGAGAGAGGAAGCGAAUUUUGAGGCAAAAAUAACAUAAUAUCUCAAAUUUUUACUGCUCUGCAUUGAAAUAAUACAUGAGACAACAUGCUGGUUAAAGCCAGAGCUUUAUAGAUAAAGGUCACAUGUUGAACGUUUGCAUAAAUUUGCCGCGCAGAUUGCUUUGACAUGUCACAUUCUGUAAACGCAGGCUCUCCUGUGGUGCUUUAGAGCAGCAGAUACACAUGAUCAACCUGUACAGCCAUAGAGCAUCAUUUGCCUCUUGUGAGAUGGUUCACUUAAAAGCACAAUGCAUUUCCAUUGAACUGAGAGUAGAGGAUUUUUCUUCCUUUUACUUAUUGGCCUUUCUAAGGCAGAACUGCUUUGCCUAGCCAAAGAUACUAUUUUCUUCAUAUGCGGUUCAAGGGUAUGCACAUGGGCUUUCAACAGUGUCAGACUCCAGUGCCCUUGCUCUCCCUCUGCUUAUUCAGCACCCAUUUCCCUAACAUUUUGAGAGCUUGUAGGAGAUGAUGUGAGUGAGAUUACUUGGAACACACAAGAUGCACCAACCAGACCAACCAAAUAUGGUAUAGAAAUUUGUUGUUUUAUCCUUCUUUCAUUCCAAGGAGCUGAAAGCAUCAUUUUAGCCAUCGCAGCCUUAUGGCACAUUUGGCCAAAUACUGUGAUUUGUCGAGAGCUUCCUCAGUGUGCAUGAAGGACAACCACACGUCCCUUUUGCCCUGCUCUUUCCAUUCACAGGUUUGCACUUUAAAGCUCUGUGUCUGAACCCCCGCCCCCUUUCCCCUGUGAAAACUCGCUCUUUAAAGCUGAAUUGGAGCAAAUGACUAUUUGGGUUUUUAAUGGAUUACCAUUUGGUCCGAUUCAGCUUUAAAGAGUGACGUAUCGUGGAGCAAAAAAAGGGAGGGGGCUGAGAUACAGAGCUUUAAAGUGUGGGUCAUGCCUGGAAAGCGCUGAGAAAAGGUGUGGCUAAGCCCUCAGUCCUGUGAAUGUUAUCUCAUAGAACUCAAUAAGACAUACUUCUGAGGUGAUAUGAAUAGGACUGAGAAGUUAUUCUCUUUCUACACAUGCACAUAGAAAAUACCCAUUUUGUUUAGUAGCAAGGGUUGGGAGGGGAUUAAUGACAAGUGGAUGGUGAAGAGCUGGAUUCAACUAUAGAUUAUCUUAAAGGCAUCAUUGCAUCCAGUGGCUGUGGGUUCAGUUUUUUAAAGCUAGUAUUUUCAUGGGGGGAGUGGGAAUCCCCCACUGGUGCCAAUGGGUAAUUUCCUUCGAAAUUAAGAAAAGCACCAGCUUCUGAAAAUGAAUUUUCCUAGGACCGCAGUGGAGGAGAAAAAAGUUAACUGCUCCUCUCUGUAUCUCUUAUGAUUCCAUUAACUGACAUUCACCCCUCAGCUGAUGUGAUUUGUAUUUUUAUAAAAUAGAAAAUCUGCACACUAGAUGAUGCAAAGGGACACUUAAUAUGUAGCUUGGUCCUCAGCUGCAUAGUGUCUUCCGCCUCUAGUUAAGGAUUGGCACUGUAACUGUAUUUGUAGAGGGGGGUGUGUGUGUGUGUGUGUGUGUGUGUGUUUAAAUUAAUAAAAUCAUUUCUGGGUUAGGGAUCAAUUCCAGAGAAAGAAAGGUGUUUGUGGGAGAUGGCAGUGUGAGAGCCUAAUUGAACAAGACUGAAGUUCCAGGGAUUUGUAAGUGGAACAGGUGAAAAUGGCAGUCGUGAUAAUUUAAUACUAAUUACUUCCAUCCUAGCAACUGUCUGCCAGGUGCUCUAAAGAACAAGAAAAGAGAGCUAGGCACGUACAGAUCCCUUGCCCAGCUUUUCCUGACAGGACAGCGGGGGUAUAGGAUCGCUUUAGCAAAACCUUGGGGCCUAUGUUGUGAGUUUUAUUUUUGCUCACUUUGUCCAUCAUUUCAUUUAUUCAUUUAUUUGCUUCCUUGCUUCCUUAGUUACAUUUAUAUCAUGCCUUUCGGUCUAAGACCAUUUGCUGUCACGUUUCAUAAAGCAGAUGAAAAGAAAUUAAAAUUACCUAUGUGAAGCAACACCACAACUGGAUCAACAUACACUAUACUGGGGGAGGGGGGAGAUGACAUCACAGUGGGAGCAUGAAAGCAGAAAUGGAGGCACAAUAAUAAAUAAAUGCUAUGUUAGUUCAUUAGUCCUAUUCUAUAAAAAAGGGGCCACCAAGCAGAGAAAGGUCGGCCCUUGUAGUCCCCGUGAUUACUUUGUGAUAUUAAUGAGAAUUUUGGUUUGAUUUCUGUCAUUCUGUGACUUGUUUUCAUGUUGCCUCAAUGCAAAGCCUUAACACAAAACUCUUGCAGUAGAAGAUCCUCAGGGCAUAAGAGAAGAAAAGAGGCAAUGUAUCUUUGUAUGUAAAUAAUGUACCCUGAAGGAAGUCUCUCAUUAGAAGAGCAUCCAUGGAAACAUGGCAUUGAACAGGAAGUAAAACCCCAGCAGCCAAGUUGAAGAAACUCCUCUUACCUUUGCCACACAUCUUAAGAGGCUUCAGUCAAUAAGCACGGCUGCUUUCCACAAGCUUUGACUCCAGCAAGACGGAGUGCAGAGCAGAUUGUAGCCAUGUCUGCCAAGUAGGUGGCAGAAUAUUGCUAUGGGGAAGGUGACUCAUCCUUGCAUAAGAGUCAGCCCAUGUUCAGCAUUCAGCAGCAGCGCAGUUGGGUGUCAGCUGAUAAAUACUGGGCACAAAGAAGUACAAUAUCACUGCUACAAUGUUCUCUUUAAAGCCCAGCGUAGCAGAGUGACUGGAGCUUUGGGCUUGGAUGUGAGAACCCUCCAUUCAUUUUGCUGUUCAGCUGAAGCACACUGGGGCAGCCCUGGGCAAGCCAUGGUUUCCUGCCCUUCUCUGGUUGUGAUAGCUAAAACGCUGUUUCAGUGCUAAGGAAGGAAGGAAGGAAGGAAAAAACAAACAAGUGUCUCUGAUAUAUAAUCCUCUAUUCCUUCAUCUCCUACAAGUUCUCCAAAAAAUAAGCAGAGGAAGAUCUGUGGCAUGUGGGGUUGGCGCUGUUGGAAGCCCAUGGAUGAGCCCUGGGAUGUCCUAGCUUUGCUGCUCCAUCUCCCCUUUCUUGUUGUUGCCUGGUGAAGUGUUGUUGCUCAGGGAUACAGCAUCUGCUUUGCAUUCAAAGGAUCCCAGUUUCAGUCCCCAACAUUGCCAGGAAGUGCUGGGAGAGAACCCUGGAUUUCAGAAUCCAGUAACAGAAUUUUUAGAUCAGAAUUCAGAAUUGAUAUACCUGUAUUGUUGUUGUUGUUGUUGUUGUUAAUUUAAAAAAAACCAAAGCCUGAAUACCAGGAAUUCAAAGUAGCGCUUCUGUGAUCACUCUAUCAGUACAAGCACUUUUUGCCCUCCAUGUUCUGUUCUGGGGGUGCGACUAACCCCUGCAACCUAAUUGGGAUGUGUGCAGGGGUUGUAUGGGGCAAGGAGAGGGAAGGGGAAAGCCCUAUAGCACAAGUCCUUGCAUGGGCCCCAUUAGAGGAAUCCACCCCCAUUUUGGGCAUUUUGGGGGCAUUUUGAUGACAAAGCUUGGAGCAGCCUCACUGAUUCUGUGCUGCCAAGGACAAUGAAAGAGCUAAAGAUUAUAGCAUGACAAUUAGACCUUCUCGAUCUAUUUCCAGGCCCAUGCAAAAAAACAAAACGAAAAACCAAAUCCAAUGGUGUGUCCAACUUCGCAUAUCAGAUCAUGUAAACAAAACUAUCAUGGAUCUGCAGUCAGUGCCCCAAUCCUUUCUAUAAUGCAAAAAGCUCUGUGCCAUACACACUGACUGGCCAGUGUUCUCCAGGGUUUGAGGCAAAAGUCUCUCCUAGCCCUAACUGGAGAUAUUGGGGUUGGGCCUAGGACCUUCCGCAUGCAAAGCCGAUGCUAUGGCCCUUCUCCUAGUUCAAAGAUGCCCUACAAGGAAUUGAUUUGGCUCAACACAGUUCAGGUCAUGUGAUCUGUUCCAGGGAUAAUUGAACCCGUGUUGUUUACUAUCUCAUCACAAUGGAAACCUGACAAAUUGUGCUUUUGUUUAUUUUCUCCACGCUCCCCAGGCGAUGUGCAGGGCAGCCUUCCCGAACUUGGCACCUUCCAGAUGUCUUAGACUACAGCUCCCAUCAUCCCUGACCAUUGGUCUAGCUGGCUGGGACUGAUGGGAGUUGGUUCUCAACAAGAUUUGGAGGGCACCAGAUUUGGGAAGGCUGAGGAUGUAUUAUUCUAUCACAGUUCUGGCAUGGACUGAAAUGUCCUAAGCGCUGAACUGUGAAAGGGAAGAAAAACUGUUAGCCUCUAGGACAAAAUGGCAAUAUUUAAAUGCAUCUCUGGUGCAUUGCCUGUGAACAAACAUGAAACCUUAAAUAGCAUACUUAAGAAAGGUUUCAUCUUUGUUUUUCAAGAGAAUGGCCAUAGGAGCUCCUGCUGCAAUGAUUCUAUGAGCCAACUGGAUCAGUUAAGCACGCUCCCCACCGCCAUCAAUUCUGGUUUUGUCGCUUUGUAGGGAUAUAAAAGAGGAACUGAGAGCAAAAGUACCAGUUGUGCUUUUCCAAGCAGAGCCACGAUGAAAGUGGUUUAACGGGGUUCAGGCGGAGAGGGUGUGGCAGCUUGCCAGUGUUUAAGCCAAAGCAAACUGCUGUCAGCAUGGAAAUGGCUGAAGAGGCUGACCUCAUGCCUCCCAGGAUUAAGCUGAAAUCUUGCUGGCGCCAUGGUGGGAAUAUUGAAAGGAGCUGUAAUCCUGCCAGUUUGAUUGAGCCAAACUGGCCGGGCCCAUGUGCACAAUCAGCAGCUGAAUGGGAUCUCUCCCCCUGCAUGCCCCAAUAUUAACAAAUGAGUAGAAGCUGCUUAGGGCUGUAAGAAAAAAGGAUGCAGGCAGCCAGGGAAGCGGGGGGUGGGGGUGGGGGGAAGCCAAAUUGCCCGCUACCUGGAAGAGCGCAAUUGUGUGAAGGCUGCUGUUAUGAAAUUGCUGCACCAGAAUAAUAGGCGAAUUGUUCCAAUGCCUUCCACUUCUCCUGUGGAUUAACUGACUUUACAUUAUUUCCCAGUGAUACACGCUGUAUUAUUUAUUGCCAUAAUCAGUAAGAUCCCAAUGCCAUAAAUAACUCGGAUCCGAUGAUGUGACUUUGCUUUAUGGACCCACAUUAAUGGUUUAAAUUAGAUUUCAUAGGAAGCAGCUAUUGCUUUGUGUCUUCCACGAAGAUGCUCAGAUUUCCUUGCAUCUCAACUCCAGCCCUCUGUCUGUGAAAUGUUUUUUUUUUAUAGAGAAAGGAGCAGAAAUCCUAAAAAAUAUUGAGUUGUGUGAGUACAAUCAACCAAGGGAAGUGUAUUACAAGAGGGAGGAUCACAGACCAUUUAUGUUAUGGAGAGCCACUUCCCUCCAAGGAUACAAAUGGGUGACCUUUACUUGCAGCGUUAAAUGCCCAGGGGUCAUUUGUGCAAGACACAGGGAGCUUUAACUGGAACAGGCCAAUCUCAUAAUGGCUGUGUCAGCCGCAGCAGUGCAAGAACAGGCUUGUGCUGCAGCAGUUAAAAUAGCAUUUUAUGUGAUGUUAAUGGUGCAGAGUCACACAGAUAUGCCCUGCUUGCCAAAUACAUCACCCCCCAAAGACAUCUUGGCACCACAUGUUGCUGGCACAAAGGGUUAUAGCUAGGGAUGGAUGUGGGAGAGGGCUUUCUUCCCCAGGGAAACUCCAGACCCAUUCCUUGAAUUUUCAGCUCUCAGUGAUCUGGGUCCUCUGAAGAUCCAUUUAUUUGAGCAGACCUUUAGAGGAUAUCAAUGGUUGACCUGGUUGUGGUAUUGCUGUUAUUGCUUCUGCUGGUUUCUUCUUGUUGUUCUGUUCUUCUGUUUUGAUUUGUGGCUGAUAUUGUCAUUCCCGUUGUGUUUUAUUAUACCCUGCCCUGGGAUCACUACUGCGAUGAAGCGGGUGGGGAAUAGCCAUGUCUUUUCAAUAAGCCGGUCAGUCGGUAAUAGUGGGAAAGGAAUUCUGAGGGUUCCAACAGUGCCUGAAAAUGAAAGGCACCGAGGCUCAGAUUAAGUCGGCAGCCAUGCUUUGCUGCUCUUCUCAUCCCAGCCACUGUAGGCUCUAAAGGGGGGGGGGGGGGAAUUGGGUCCUAGUGCUGGAAUAAAGCUGAGGAUUUAUUCCCUUGAAUCAUUCCUAGAAAUUGUGGACCUUGAUGCCAGUGCUACUACAUGUUAGAGAAGAAAAUCAGAGACAGAGCUAUACGGGCAAUACCCAGCUUGGGCCACCACAUCAUAAUAUAAUGAUGAUGAUGACAAGAAUGAUAUUUAUAUGCCACCCGUCGGACUGGGGUGUCCAAGCCACCCUGGGCGGUUUCCAAAGAUUAAAACACAGUAAGACACCAAACAUUAAAAACUUCCCUAUACAACGCUGCCUUCAGAUAUCUUAUAAAAGUCAGAUGGCUGUUUAUUUCCUUGACAUCUGGUGGGAGGGCGUUCCGCAGGGUGGGCACAACUGCUGAGAAGGCCCUCUGCCUCACUUCUUGCAGUGAGAGAACCACCAGAAGGCCCUUAGCGGUGGCCCUCAGUGUCUGGGCUGAAUGAUGGAGGUGGAGAUGCUCCUUCAGGAAUGCAGGGUUCAAAGCUGUUUAAUUAAUCAACCUGGCCCAAGCAAAAAGACAAAUCACAAGGGGGCAGAAAGGUGCCUACCAUGAUAUCCUAGGGGAUGAAACUUUCCCUCAUGAUAUUGCAUAAGUCUAGUUAAAAUUUCAGAAGGCACCUGUCCUCAAAUUCGUCUACGGUGUGAGUGGAAGGCAAUUUUGUAUUCUUUUGUGAAGCUGUAAAGUAUGUACACCUUCUGGUUCUCUCACAGUAUGUGUCAGUCUCUGAAAAUAUAUAAAGC
Non-coding RNA from Podarcis lilfordi (Lilford's wall lizard), 8819 nucleotides. The record is from the annotation of a GenBank genome assembly. Lineage: Eukaryota; Metazoa; Chordata; Lepidosauria; Squamata; Lacertidae.